Molecule: RNA transcript, 6782 nt
Organism: Alligator sinensis (Chinese alligator)
Lineage: Eukaryota; Metazoa; Chordata; Crocodylia; Alligatoridae
Gene: BCLAF3
Gene name: BCLAF1 and THRAP3 family member 3
Exons: 14
Source: RefSeq, a predicted model, not a curated record
CAUUUGUAUAUUACAGAGGCACUCAAACAUUUUUGGGUAUUACACCUAAAAAUAAAUACCCUUCCUAAAUUGGUUAUUCUGCUGUGUGCCCUGAUGAUUCCAUGUUAUGACUAAUAAAAGAACACUUUAUCACUGCAACCACAGCGUAACCUCCUCAGAAGCAUAAGAUUGAGAGCUUUAAGAAACUGGCGUAAUUUGCAAAAAGAUGGUUAGGUCUAGAUCAAGAUCACCAAGGUGGAAACAGAGGUCCUUAUCGCCAGCAUUUAGAAGUCCAGAACACCAUAGGCAAAGGCAUGCUCAUAUUAAUUACAACUGUGAAUAUAAGGGCUUUAGGAGGGACCUGAAGAAAUCUAUGCCUUGGAGAGCAGAAGAUGGAAAAUAUGGACAAAGCAAUUCUAGAUUUGCACCUAAUGGGAAUAACCACCACAGGAUUUAUGAACAUAGGUCACCUUCACCAAGUCUAAAAAGAAUUCCUUUAGAAGAUGCAUAUAGUCAUAAACCCUAUAGAACACAUUCAUCAGAAAGGAGUGAAAGCAACAGGAGAUACCAGUUACCACCCAAAUACUCAGAAAUAGUAUACAAAGAACAUGAUCGACCUUUUUACUCGCACAAAAUGGAAGAUAGAUAUGUGCCUGAGCACUACAGAGUCACUGGAAAUGAAAAAGGAAUGAAACCUUUUUAUAGACCAUUAGGGGAUUCUUGUAAAUUUGAAAGAAAAUGGUAUGAAGAUGACUUGAGGCACCAGAGGCUACAUGAAGACAAGUAUGGUCAGUCACCUAGAAGAGUUUCUGAAGAAUUUACAGCAAGGAGCUCUUUACAGAAGAGGUAUCCUGAGGAUCGGGAUUACAGAGAAUAUGGGCACACGUCUAAAAGGGCUAAAGAAAUGGAGAGGUAUGACGGUGGAGAAGUAAGAAAUCCCAAGUGGAAGGAUGAUCGUUCUUUUCCACUCUACCAAGAAAAGGAGGAACAAAGAACCCUUGGUCCCCAAGUUCAUCGGCCUGCUGAAAGGGAGUACACAGAGAGUUCUGUUAUGAAGACGGCAUAUGAAUAUAGUCACAAACGUCAUAGACAGCCAGAUGGGGAAAAAUCAUUUGCAGAUGAUAGAGCUCAGAAGUAUGUAAAGCAGGAAGAGCAAAAAUAUAAUUCUUCUAAGGGUGCUCGGGAUAGCAAAGAGCUAGAUUAUUUUAGUGGUGGAAGAGUGAGACAGACUGAAGAGGGGCAUAUUGAAGUACCCAUUAAAUAUAGCUCAAAGAAAGGCUGCAAUGAAUGUGCUAACUCUUACAAAAGUGAUGUUGAUCUGAGACCCUUUAACAAACAGAAGGAAAGAGUAAGGAAAGAAGGGGAUUUCAGGAAAAAAGUAGAUUCUUCCAAUAGCCAGCAUGAUACACAUCAUACAGUUUCAGAUACGAAAAUGUCAGAGGUCAACUCUAGGAGGGAGCGGCUCACAAUCAAAGUGGAUAUGAAGAAAAUGGUGAACAAGCCCAGGGCUGCUUCUAGCCAUACCACAGAGAGGCAGAUGUCACAUGACCUGGUUGCAGUUGGCAGAAAAAAUGAAAAUUUUCAUCCAGUCUUUGAGCACAUGGAAUCUGUGCCACAGAAUGUUGAAAAUAACCCAUCACGAGAAUUUACUCAGGAAAUAAUUAUGAUAAUCCAUCAAGUUAAAGCAAAUUAUUUUACAUCCUGUGACCUAACAUUGCAUGAACGCUUCUCCAGAAUUCAAGAUAAACCAGUUGCAAACCUAAAUGAAGUCAAAAUGCAUUCAGAUCCAGAAAUUCACAGGAGAAUUGAUAUGUCUUUGGCAGAACUUCAGAAUAAACGAGCUGUGCCAUGUGAAUCUGGACAGACAGUUGUACGAGUUCUAGAAGAUCCAAAUGAUUUACGUCAUGAUAUAGAAAGAAGGAGAAAAGAAAGGCUGCUGAAUGAAGAUGAGCGAACGUUUCACAUAAAUGAUGUAAAUAAAAGGAACAACCAGAGCUGCAGCUUUUUGAAAUUACGGAACUCCCAAAUUGAUGGAUUCCAAAAGCCUAUAAGGUUCCUAAAACCACCUUUCAGGAAAUUUAUUAGGAAGCCUCACAUAAAUUCUUAUUAUGCUGCAAAAACAAAUGAUAUCUUUACUCCCAGACGAAUUAGAGGACACCUUGAAAAUCCUGGACCCAUCAGAAAACCAUUUAAGACUAACUUUACAGAUGGUCGGUUGCAACCCCAUUAUAAAUCAGGCUUAGUACAGAAGGGUUUAUAUAUUCAAGCUAAGUACCAGCGGCUGCGUUCUGCUGGUGUAAGGGGAUUUACCACUAAUAAAUUCAGAGAAGGAUUUUUGAGGAAAGAAAAGGUACACAUGCAAGCAGCCCAGUGGAUAUAAAUGGGACUCAGUAAUGGCUUACAAAUGUGAAUGCAGGAUUACAACCUGGCCCCCACUGAGGAAAAGAUCGGAAUUAAAUUGACCUGGUUCCUGUAGUGAAGAGACCUUAUGUUUUUGGGACCGUCAAACAUUGUCAGAGAAACCUGAACUUUGAUGCUGACGUUGAGACAUAACGAUAAUAACUCACAAGGGAACAUCUGUUUGUUUUUUGACAACUUUGCCAGGAAUUAAAAUAGGAUAAAUGGAACUAACAGUGUAGCUUUCUCAGAAAAAAUGACCUUAUUUUUCAGUAGUGGAAUGCUGCAGAACUUUUUUACAGUUUUAAUAAUUGCUUUUAAAUUACAGUACAGUAUUUAGUUGAAAAGUUGUAGUAUGGUACUUUCAGUUCCUUUUUGCAAACAAGUUUCAAGAACAGAAAUCACUGAAGGGAGUCAUAUUUAUUGAAUACUUUUCUCUAAGCAUGAUUUUAUGAAUAGAAAUUGAGUUGUUAUACCCAGAGGUUUAUAUGUUGAAAAGUUUAUUGCUUGUGUAAAAAAACAAAAACAAAUAAAAAAAAAAAAGAAGGUAAAGAGAGAGGAAAAAAAAGUGCCUGAAUUGUUCAGUGAUAGCACAUUAGCUCAGGACUCUCCAAGCAAUGACCUUUUAGGUUGUGCAAUAGACCUUACCUCUCUUUUCAGUUAUUUCCCUAGGAAAAUAUUUGUGUUACUUCUGCUUGCUUUUUUUUCAGUUGGGUGUUUGACUUACAAAUGCAUAUACGUUUGUAAAUAAAUUGUUAGAAAUUUGUGACAAUUUCCAGCAUUUAAUCAAAAUGUGUGGUAAUGGGUAGGUAUGUAACGUACUGCAUAGCAGUAGUUUAUAAAUGCACUGAAAGCAUGCUUGGGACUGUUAGAGGAUUAGUUGGCCUGUAUUCAGAAAUACCUUGGUUCACCAUAUGUUUGUGAGAGACGUUCUUAAUCGAGCAGCACAUUUUCUAACAUUUUGCCACAAAUAGGCUUGGAAGGUAUGUGUUUAAAAAGAAGUCUUUUUAAAAAGCAUGUCUUCUGACAAAGCUGUCUGAAGCAAUUUCACCAAUUAACGCAGAAAGCCUGUAACUUUUAAAAAAUUAAAAUCCCAGUCACUCCUCAAAGUUUAUCCCACCACAAUGUUAUGCUACAUGCAAAAAUCAAGUAGGCCGACAAAUGCUCAGCCCAAUACGGUAUUUUCUGUUUAUAGUUAGAGCCUUAAUAUAUAUUAAUAAGUUUGUAUGUGUUUCAUAUUUUGUAUUCCAAGCACAUUAAAGACAAAUGUCUAGUAGCUUCCAGGGAAGACUUUCUAAUUUGUUAUAAAAAUGUUGUCAUUUAAUCACUUUGUGUAUUUAAAAGUUCUCUCCAAGGUUAUAGUAGCCAUAAAAAGUGCAACAAAUAAUUCUGUUUAUGGAUUGUAUUAAGGUAUUUGGUAUGCUUAACACGUGAAAUGUCAGAAGGAAAAUUCACUCUUCUUUUGGUAAAAUUACACUAUGGACUACACACACUACAUCACUUUUUUUUUUUAGAAUUAUUAUGGUUUAUUGAAGCUUCCUAAGUAUGCUUGAGAGCACUAUAAAAUGUUUUAGUACAGUAUGAUGAAAUCUAACUAAAACCCGUUCACAUAUAAUUGGGCAUACAACUUCAAUCUUUACAAAGAAGGAAAAUUGAGCGGGGAAGAGGCAGGGAAUCAUGGUUAUAACUGAUUUAAUACUAAGUAUAGAUAAAAUUUCAAUUUUGCCUUUCCAAAAAGCAGUGUGUUUAGUUUAGAUAACAGGCACCCCUGCCUCCUUUCUUCAGUAACUUAUACUAAGUUUUUAGGGGGUUGUGGUCCAUAUAAAUCAAGCAGAAAGCUGAAGUAGAAGAAAUAUUUUUUCCUUUCAGAACUAUGUAAUAACAUAGUUAUUUAGUAUUAACAUAUAGCCUAUUUAGUGUUAGGCUACAUAAAGUGAAUCUGUUCAAAUCUAGGCCUACUUUGCUUAAAUUCUGAGUAGCUAUUCACACCAAAUGAAUAGAGUGUAGAAAAGCUGAAUGUAGAAAAGCACUUUUAAAUAAACAUGUACACAGCAGAAAAUAAACUGUUCAAGCGGCACUGCGUUAUCUGGCAGAAUAGUACUAUUUCUGUAAUAUUUUUAUUUUGCAAAAAAUCUUGGCAAAGAAUUGUUUUGAGCAAGUGGAAAAGUAUGGUUACAUGUGGAAACAUCUGUAUCAUGACUGUUUUGUUGCUGUUGUAUGAGAGUGUAUGCAUUUUGGUUUAUCCAGUUCAUACAACUUACACAAAAAUCCAGCUUUAGAAAUAUGAAUAACUUCUCCAGUUAUCUGCGUGCUGUUUUAUUUUACUUACGACGUUGGGCAGCUUUAAUUUUGUAGUACAGUCAUACCUUUUCUUGCAUGGCUUUCAUGCAUAUCGUUUAGAACUGACAGCAGUGCAAAUGGUUAAAUUGCAUUCUUUAUUAAUAACUUUGCAAUUCCGAUUUAGGACGCCCCUGCAGUAAGUAAAUCAGUUUUGUGUGUAGCAUGGAGGAUUGUACACGAAUGGUAAGGUCUUAUAAACAAUCCUGACUUAAAUGCUGCUUUCUGGUUGGACAUUUCUGCUGAAGAGCAACUGCUGUCCUGUUAAUUGUGGAAGUGUUGCAAAUAUGUUUUCAUUCACGUUACAGAAGUAGCAUAGCAUGUUAGGUCUUGUAAAUUAAGUUAGGUCGAUUUAUACAUGCAUACAUACACGUGUAGAACUAAGAUUUUGAAAAGGGGAAGUGGAUGGUGUGGUACAUCAUUGGACAUAACUGUCUUUCUCUCCACUUAAAGAGAAGCUAGAAGGUUUAUUGAUACACUAGAGGUCUAGCACUAUAUGAUUUAGUUUAAGUUGAAAACAAAAACAGAUAUAACUUUAUUGGAAUGUGCAAUUAAAUUUUUAAUAAACACAACUAACUAGGCAAAAAGUUGAAAUAUUUUGUUUCAUUAGUCCUGUAGCCAUUAUAGUUAAAUAUAUGUUUCUUAUUCCAAUUCAUAAAACAAAAUCUAGCUUUCAUGAGUGUCUUGACAGUGCCUUCAAUACUGUCAGUCAUUUCCACACUGGAGCUAAUAGCACUGUACCCCAGUUAGGGUUUUAGCUAGAUCUAAAAACAGUCUGCAGAGCUGUGAAAUAUGAGGCACAUUACUAGAAAUGGCUAAUAGACAACAACAUCGCAGAAGAAAGAAUAGUUUGAAUAGUGGAACAUCAAGACCAUGAAGAAGGAGAGGGGUAUUAACACCUAUGGAAUGCGGAGAGAUUAGCAGGAAUUGGGUAGAACAGGUUGGCAGCCUUUUUGGGCAAAGUGCCAAAAACACCCUCAAACUUAACUUGUAAGAUAUUGGCAUGCCAGGGGCAGCCACAAGGUGCCUGAUCUUUAUUGUGUCAGUACAGCCUCAGCCCUUUCCACAAGGCGCAAGUACCAAGCAGAAUGCCUUUGCGUGGCACACGUGCCAGGGUUUGCCUACUCCUAAGGUAGAAGAUAAUGAGCCAUGAUUCAGUUGACUCCCUCUGUGCUACAUUAAUAGAAAUGCUGCCAUCCCUCCCAGGCAGCUGGUUUUAAAGUUUGGGUUGAAGGAGGAAACGGGGGGGGGUCAGAGAGACUCUAUAUACCUAGUCAGCAUAAUAUUUUAAAAUAAUCAAAAGGCAGAGUAGAAGGGGAUAUGGUUAGAGAUGGUUAUAAUAACAAAGGUGAUUCUGUGAAAAACUGUUCCGUGCCUUUCUGUACUGUAACUGCAUUGUGAAAAAUGACAUCUGCCAUACAAGAAAAGCUAAGUGUUGCUCUGAAAAAUCAAUUUGAUGGGAAAUGUGGGUAGGAAACAUUUGGGUAUUACAAAAGACACUUUUUUUGUUCACUAUGCAAGUAAUUCUUAGCCUCUAUAUAUUGUAGCUUAACCAAAAGGAGGUAUAUAGUAUGCCUUUUCUAUGGGUAAGGCAUAUAAAUACUUUUUCAUUGGGAAAUGCUAGCUGUCAAGUAUGCAGUUGUCUGAUGGCCAAAUUUUUUCUUGAUUACGUUUUAUAGAUGCUAGUUGUUUAUAUUUUAAUCAGCUCGAUGAAAUGACCAUACUGGGAUGCUACCUGUCAUAUCACCAUUGGAGUUCUUACAAUUUGCAGUGUUUAAACUCUGUAGCACUAUCCAAGAUGCAGUGGCUUAAUAUGAUUGAAGUCCAUAUUUGUGUGUUAAGAAGUUGUCACUGCUUUUGGCAUAUACAUUGCUGAGCAUUUUAAGUAAUUCUGUCAUGGUAGGCUUAGAACCCUGAUUUUAUCUUGCUUUUUUGAUCAGAUUUCCAAAGUUAAGAAAUAUAAUUGCGUGGGUUCCUGGAAAGCAAGCGAGCAAUACACUGGAUGAGUGUACUCUGCUAGAGCUCUGCCUUGCCCUUUUCUAUUAUUUACUCUAUUUUUAACCAUGUUU